AUAUUGUAUGUUGAGUGCAGGUGAGAAGCUGCGUUCAGGUUCGAGCCGAGCGAAGCGAGACAGCGUUGCGCUUGUCGCAACGACCCGAAGGGCGAGGGUAAAGCCCGAGUAAUCCUGCACGACCCACCA
Molecule: small RNA, 129 nt
Filed under: Providencia sp. wls1943
Lineage: Bacteria; Pseudomonadati; Pseudomonadota; Gammaproteobacteria; Enterobacterales; Morganellaceae
Description: RtT sRNA
Rfam family: RtT RNA
About the family: This family represents a bacterial cis-regulatory element known as RtT RNA. The exact function of RtT is unknown although it is thought that it may be involved in changing the cellular response in relation to amino acid starvation.
Source: RNAcentral